UUGUACCGAUUCGAUCGGGAUAGUCAUCACAUAAAAAACAAUACCGAGCAAGCCUCUCUUGUUAAUGGCGGGCCAUAUAAACUCCAGUAACUGGAACUAAGUCGGAAGAUCGGUGGAUUACAAAGACAGAGGGCUCUCAAAUCUUAAUUACUCGGACUUAUCAUCACAUCAUCG
RNAcentral lists this small RNA (174 nucleotides) under uncultured Prevotella sp. Its description in RNAcentral is "Bacteroidales-1 6S-Bacteroidales RNA suggested". It matches the Rfam family "Bacteroidales-1 6S-Bacteroidales RNA suggested", at positions 5 to 165 of the family's 179-position model. Lineage: Bacteria; Pseudomonadati; Bacteroidota; Bacteroidia; Bacteroidales; Prevotellaceae. The record is from RNAcentral.